GCUCCCUGAUGUUAGCGGCGGACGGGUGAGUAACACGUGGGUAACCUGCCUGUAAGACUGGGAUAACUCCGGGAAACCGGGGCUAAUACCGGAUGGUUGUCUGAACCGCAUGGUUCAGACAUAAAAGGUGGCUUCGGCUACCACUUACAGAUGGACCCGCGGCGCAUUAGCUAGUUGGUGAGGUAACGGCUCACCAAGGCGACGAUGCGUAGCCGACCUGAGAGGGUGAUCGGCCACACUGGGACUGAGACACGGCCCAGACUCCUACGGGAGGCAGCAGUAGGGAAUCUUCCGCAAUGGACGAAAGUCUGACGGAGCAACGCCGCGUGAGUGAUGAAGGUUUUCGGAUCGUAAAGCUCUGUUGUUAGGGAAGAACAAGUGCCGUUCAAAUAGGGCGGCACCUUGACGGUACCUAACCAGAAAGCCACGGCUAACUACGUGCCAGCAGCCGCGGUAAUACGUAGGUGGCAAGCGUUGUCCGGAAUUAUUGGGCGUAAAGGGCUCGCAGGCGGUUUCUUAAGUCUGAUGUGAAAGCCCCCGGCUCAACCGGGGAGGGUCAUUGGAAACUGGGGAACUUGAGUGCAGAAGAGGAGAGUGGAAUUCCACGUGUAGCGGUGAAAUGCGUAGAGAUGUGGAGGAACACCAGUGGCGAAGGCGACUCUCUGGUCUGUAACUGACGCUGAGGAGCGAAAGCGUGGGGAGCGAACAGGAUUAGAUACCCUGGUAGUCCACGCCGUAAACGAUGAGUGCUAAGUGUUAGGGGGUUUCCGCCCCUUAGUGCUGCAGCUAACGCAUUAAGCACUCCGCCUGGGGAGUACGGUCGCAAGACUGAAACUCAAAGGAAUUGACGGGGGCCCGCACAAGCGGUGGAGCAUGUGGUUUAAUUCAAAGCAACGCGAAGAACCUUACCAGGUCUUGACAUCCUCUGACAAUCCUAGAGAUAGGACGUCCCCUUCCGGCGCAGAGUGACAGGUGGUGCAUGGUUGUCGUCAGCUCGUGUCGUGAGAUGUUGGGUUAAGUCCCGCAAC
RNAcentral lists this ribosomal RNA (1028 nucleotides) under Bacillus velezensis. RNAcentral's name for it is "bacterial SSU rRNA". It matches the Rfam family "Bacterial small subunit ribosomal RNA", at positions 81 to 1093 of the family's 1533-position model. Lineage: Bacteria; Bacillati; Bacillota; Bacilli; Caryophanales; Bacillaceae. The record is from RNAcentral.